RNAcentral lists this transfer RNA (72 nucleotides) under Mycobacterium tuberculosis variant bovis AF2122/97. Its description in RNAcentral is "tRNA-Gln". The record is from RNAcentral. Lineage: Bacteria; Bacillati; Actinomycetota; Actinomycetes; Mycobacteriales; Mycobacteriaceae.
UGGUUCAGAUAGUUCAGGUUCGAGUCCUGGCGACGGAGCUUCAAGGAGGGUUGAUGACGUUUCCUGGUGACA